RNAcentral lists this ribosomal RNA (254 nucleotides) under uncultured bacterium. RNAcentral describes it as "partial 16S ribosomal RNA". It matches the Rfam family "Bacterial small subunit ribosomal RNA", at positions 524 to 776 of the family's 1533-position model. The record is from RNAcentral.
UACGUAGGGUCCGAGCGUUGUCCGGAUUUAUUGGGCGUAAAGAGCUCGUAGGCGGUUCCGUAAGUCAGAUGUGAAAACUCAGGGCUCAACCCGGAGACGCCAUCUGAUACUGCGGUGACUGGAGUCUGGUAGGGGAACACGGAAUUCCUGGUGUAGCGGUGAAAUGCGCAGAUAUCCGGAGGAACACCAGUGGCGAAGGCGACUUCCUGGCCUGUUCUUGACGCUGAGGCGCGAAAGCUGGGGGAGCAAACGGG